AGAGUUUGAUCAUGGCUCAGAACGAACGCUGGCGGCAGGCCUAACACAUGCAAGUCGAACGGAUCCUUCGGGAUUAGUGGCAGACGGGUGAGUAACGCGUGGGAAGCUACCUUGUGGUAGGGAACAACAGUUGGAAACGACUGCUAAUACCCUAUGAGCCCUAUGGGGGAAAGAUUUAUCGCCAUGAGAUGUGCCCGCGUUAGAUUAGCUAGUUGGUAAGGUAAUGGCUUACCAAGGCGACGAUCUAUAGCUGGUCUGAGAGGAUGAUCAGCCACACUGGGACUGAGACACGGCCCAGACUCCUACGGGAGGCAGCAGUGGGGAAUAUUGGACAAUGGGGGCAACCCUGAUCCAGCCAUGCCGCGUGAGUGAUGACGGCCUUAGGGUUGUAAAGCUCUUUCAGCAGUGAAGAUAAUGACAUUAACUGCAGAAGAAGCCCCGGCUAACUUCGUGCCAGCAGCCGCGGUAAUACGAAGGGGGCUAGCGUUGUUCGGAAUCACUGGGCGUAAAGCGUACGUAGGCGGACUGAUCAGUCAGGGGUGAAAUCCCGGGGCUCAACCCCGGAACUGCCUUUGAUACUGUCAGUCUUGAGAUCGAGAGAGGUGAGUGGAACUCCGAGUGUAGAGGUGAAAUUCGUAGAUAUUCGGAAGAACACCAGUGGCGAAGGCGGCUCACUGGCUCGAUACUGACGCUGAGGUAC
RNAcentral lists this ribosomal RNA (700 nucleotides) under Pseudovibrio sp. JM33A. RNAcentral describes it as "bacterial SSU rRNA". It matches the Rfam family "Bacterial small subunit ribosomal RNA", at positions 8 to 754 of the family's 1533-position model. Lineage: Bacteria; Pseudomonadati; Pseudomonadota; Alphaproteobacteria; Hyphomicrobiales; Stappiaceae. The record is from RNAcentral.